GACGAACGCUGGCGGCGUGCUUAACACAUGCAAGUCGAACGGAAAGGCCCGGCUUUUGUUGGGUGCUCGAGUGGCGAACGGGUGAGUAACACGUGUGUAACCUGUCCUUGACUUUGGGAUAACUUCAGGAAACUGGGGCUCAUACCCGAUAUGAGCUCCUGCUGCAUGGGGGGGGUUGGAAAGUUUCGGCGGUUGGGGAUGGGCUCGCGGCUUAUGAGCUUGUUGGGCUGGUAGGUGCUUACCAAGGCUUUGACGGGUAGCAUGCCUGGGAGGCGUACCGGCCACACUGCGCCUGAGAUACGGCCCAGAAGCGAAUGGGCCGCAGCAGUGGGGAAUAUUGCACAAUGGGCCGAAGCCAGAUGUAGCAACGCCGCGUGCGGGAAGAGCGCCUUCGGGUUGUAAACAGAUUUCGACUGUGACGAGGCGAGAGUGACGGUAAUGGGUAAAAAAGCACCGGCUAACUACGUG
This 468-nucleotide ribosomal RNA is filed under the name uncultured bacterium. RNAcentral describes it as "partial 16S ribosomal RNA". It matches the Rfam family "Bacterial small subunit ribosomal RNA", at positions 28 to 507 of the family's 1533-position model. The record is from RNAcentral.